ACUCAAAGGAAUAGACGGGGGCCCGCACAAGCGGUGGAGCAUGUGGUUUAAUUCGAUGCAACGCGAAGAACCUUACCUACCCUUGACAUCCACAGAAUCCUGCAGAGAUGCGGGAGUGCCGAAAGGAACUGUGAGACAGGUGCUGCAUGGCUGUCGUCAGCUCGUGUUGUGAGAUGUUGGGUUAAGUCCCGUAACGAGCGCAACCCUUAUCCUUAGUUGCCAACACGUAAUGGUGGGGACUCUAAGGAGACUGCUGGUGAAGAACCGGAGGAAGGUGGGGACGACGUCAAGUCAUCAUGGCCUUUAUGGGUAGGGCUACACACGUGCUACAAUGGGGCGUACAGAGGGAAGCCAACUCGCGAGAGGGAGCCAAUCUCAGAAAGCGUCUCGUAGUCCAGAUUGAAGUCUGCAACUCGACUUCAUGAAGUCGGAAUCGCUAGUAAUCGCGAAUCAGAAUGUCGCGGUGAAUACGUUCCCGGGCCUUGCACACACCGCCCGU
RNAcentral lists this ribosomal RNA (499 nucleotides) under uncultured bacterium. RNAcentral describes it as "partial 16S ribosomal RNA". It matches the Rfam family "Bacterial small subunit ribosomal RNA", at positions 899 to 1397 of the family's 1533-position model. The record is from RNAcentral.